AGAGUUUGAUCCUGGCUCAGGACGAACGCUUGCGGCGUGCCUAAGAAAUGCAAGUCGAGCGGGGGAAGCAAUUCCCUAGCGGCGAACGGUCGCGUAACACGUAGGCAACCUGCCCGAGAGACCGGGACAACACUCCGAAAGGGGUGCUAAUACCGGAUGUGACUGGAAGGAGACAUCUCUUUCCAAUUAAAUCAUUUAUGGCUCUCGGAGGGGCCUGCGGCCUAUCAGCUAGAUGGUGGGGUAACGGCCUACCAUGGCGACGACGGGUAGCUGGUCUGAGAGGAUGGUCAGCCGGACUGGGACUGAGAUACGGCCCAGACUCCUACGGGGGGCAGCAAUUAGGAAUCUUGCGCAAUGGGGGCAACCCUGACGCAGCGACGCCGCGUGGAGGAGGAAGUCCUUCGGGAUGUAAACUCCUUUUGACGAGGAAGAAACAAAUGACGGUACUCGUCGAAUAAGCCCCGGCUAACUACGUGCCAGCAGCCGCGGUAAUACGUAGGGGGCGAGCGUUGUCCGAAGUUACUGGGCGUAAAGCGCGCGUAGGCUGGUUGUUAAGUCCGCUGUGAAAGCCCGAGGCUCAACCUCGGAGGGUCGGUGGAUACUGGCAGCCUUGAAGAUGCUAGGGGGAGAUGGAAUUACCGGUGUAGCGGUGAAAUUCGUAGAGAUCGGUAGGAACACCUGUGGCGAAGGCGGUCUCCUGGGGCAGACUUGACGCUGAGGCGCGAAAGCUGGGGGAGCGAACGGGAUUAGAUACCCCGGUAGUCCCAGCCCUAAACGAUGGAUACUAGGUGUCAGGGGUAUCGACCCCUCUGGUGCCGCAGCUAACGCAUUAAGUAUCCCGCCCGGGGAGUACGGCCGCAAGGUUGAAACUCAAAGGAAUUGACGGGGGCCCGCACAAGCGGUGGAGCAUGUUGUUUAAUACGUCACUAACCGUAGAACCUUACCAGGGUUUGACAUGCCGCGAAAUGCUGUGAAAGCAGCCUUCCCCGCAAGGGGACGCGGACACAGGUGUUGCAUGGCUGUCGUCAGCUCGUGUCGUGAGAUGUUGGGUUAAGUCCCGCAACGAGCGCAACCCUCAUCCCAUGUUGCCAGCGAGUAAAGUCGGGAACUCUUGGGAAACUGCCGGGGUAACCCGGAGGAAGGCGAGGACGACGUCAAGUCAGCAUGGCCCUUACACCCUGGGCUACAAACAUGCUACAAUGGACGGUAUACAGAGGGAUCCGAUCUCGUGAGAGGGAGGCAAUCUCAGAAAUCCGUUCUCAGUUCGGAUCGCAGGCUGCAACUCGCCUGCGUGAAGCCGGAAUCGCUAGUAACCGCAGGUCAGCUAAACUGCGGUGAAUCCGUUCCCGGGCCUUGUACACACCGCCCGUCACGUCACCUGAGUUGUCUGCACCCGAAGUCGGUGGGGUAACCGCAAGGAGCCAGCCGCCGAAGGUGUGGGGAGCGAGGGGGACGAAGUCGUAACAAGGUA
This 1471-nucleotide ribosomal RNA is filed under the name metagenome. RNAcentral describes it as "bacterial SSU rRNA". It matches the Rfam family "Bacterial small subunit ribosomal RNA". The record is from RNAcentral.